This 473-nucleotide ribosomal RNA is filed under the name uncultured delta proteobacterium. RNAcentral describes it as "bacterial SSU rRNA". It matches the Rfam family "Bacterial small subunit ribosomal RNA", at positions 400 to 863 of the family's 1533-position model. Lineage: Bacteria; Deltaproteobacteria. The record is from RNAcentral.
CGUGAGUGAUGAAGGCUUUCGGGUCGUAAAGCUCUGUCAAGUGAGAAGAAACCAUAUGGUGUUAAUAUCGCCAUAUGCUGACGGUACCACUGAAGGAAGCACCGGCUAACUCCGUGCCAGCAGCCGCGGUAAUACGGGGGGUGCAAGCGUUAUUCGGAAUUACUGGGCGUAAAGAGCGCGUAGGCGGUCUUUUAAGUCAGGUGUGAAAUCCCGGGGCUCAACCCCGGAAGUGCACUUGAAACUAAGAGACUUGAGUAUGGGAGAGGGAAGUGGAAUUCCUGGUGUAGCGGUGAAAUGCGUAGAUAUCAGGAGGAACAUCGGUGGCGAAGGCGACUUCCUGGACCAAUACUGACGCUGAGGCGCGAAGGCGUGGGGAGCAAACAGGAUUAGAUACCCUGGUAGUCCACGCAGUAAACGGUGAACACUAGGUGUAGCGGGUAUUGACCCCUGCUGUGCCGCAGCAAACGCAUUAA